RNAcentral lists this unclassified non-coding RNA (670 nucleotides) under uncultured Prochlorococcus sp. RNAcentral describes it as "partial may contain 16S ribosomal RNA, 16S-23S ribosomal RNA intergenic spacer, and 23S ribosomal RNA". The stretch from base 1 to 95 matches the Rfam family "Bacterial small subunit ribosomal RNA", at positions 1439 to 1533 of the family's 1533-position model. Lineage: Bacteria; Bacillati; Cyanobacteriota; Cyanophyceae; Synechococcales; Prochlorococcaceae. The record is from RNAcentral.
CCUUGUGGAGGAGGACGCCGAAGGUGGGGCUAAUGACUGGGGUGAAGUCGUAACAAGGUAGCCGUACCGGAAGGUGCGGCUGGAUCACCUCCUAACAGGGAGACAACAAAAUGUUAAAUAUUAAUUUUGUCACCUUAGGUCGAUCGGUAUCUCACAUUCUUAAUUCAUUAAGGAUUUUAUUUCCUAAGUUUUUCUAGGUCACACCCAUUACUUUUCCUGGGCCAUUAGCUCAGGUGGUUAGAGCGCACCCCUGAUAAGGGUGAGGUCCCUGGUUCAAGUCCAGGAUGGCCCAUAUCUCUAUGUUGGGGGUAUAGCUCAGUUGGUAGAGCGCCUGCUUUGCAAGCAGGAUGUCAGCGGUUCGAGUCCGCUUACCUCCACUGAUCACCACCUCUUCCAUAUAUAUAAUUAUGAGGGAAAUGUUUUGAGUUGUGAUCAAAUUCUGAACGAAUCUAGCUUCCUAAUUUAAAUUAUUAAGAUGCUGGACUCAUUGAAUUAAAUUCAUUGUUUUCAGAGAACCUUGACAACUGCAUAGAUUAUUUUUAAAGACAAUAAGCAUCUUUGAUGAUGCAGAUUUAUUAUUUGUGCGAAUGCAUUAAUAACAAUUCUAUUGAGCUGAUGCUUCAAUCAUAUUAUUGAAGUUAUUGGUCAAGCUACAAAGGGCUCACGGAGG